RNAcentral lists this unclassified non-coding RNA (240 nucleotides) under soil metagenome. RNAcentral's name for it is "partial contains 5.8S ribosomal RNA, internal transcribed spacer 2, and large subunit ribosomal RNA". The record is from RNAcentral.
AACCUUAUGGACCUGCGGGCGUAUACCUGCGAGGGAUCAUUAACCUUUCAAAUCAGGGUGCGGCGCGGCCCCCGAGGAGCGGAAACAAUCCUUGGGAGGUAUGCGGGGGCUUCGAGCCCCCCAUUUACGCACGCACGACUGCCAUCCUUACUUUACGAGCACCUUCUGUUCUCCCUCGGCGGGGCAACCUGCCGUUGGAACCGAAUAAACUCUUUUUGCAUCUAGCAUUACCUGUUCCGA